AGGGCAAUUAAAGGCACACAAGUCCUGUCCUCUAUUGAGUCUGACAACCCUAGCCCUAGGUCUGCCAUUUGAAACAAGCCUGCCGCAUGGAAGGUCUGGUUCCAAUUAGUCUUAAGGUUAAGGAAACAUGAUUUUUGUGUGUGUGUGAUUUCUACUAAGUUCUUGCCUUUUAUUUUGCAUUUAUAAGGAAUCUGCUUAAUAUAAAAGUGCGUGUUUAUAAUAUAAGUGAGUGUGUUCGCUGCCGAGAAGGAAAUUAUGUAGAUUUCACUCUUCUGAAAAAUAUCCCACUGCUGUGAAUGAUUAGAGGGUGUGAAACUUGGAGACUUGGCCAAUUUAAACUGCUUGAACUCUGCUGCUGAACCUCUUCAGAUAGUGGGUGGCAGCUAUAUUUUAAAGCAUGUAAGGGUUCCACCUUUUCCAGGUGAUGCCAUUUGUUUUCAGUUUCCUAUCCCCACAUUGCUAGUGUUGCCUGUGUUAAUUACUGUUUUUAAAUGGAGAAGGUUGGUAGGGGGUAUAGUUUUACUAAUUGCAUUCUAGGGUGAAAUUAUAUGAUUGAAUGCAGAGGAGAUGAGCAUUUUGUUCUGACGUUUAUGGUUUAAAGGCAUGAGAUUGUUUUUGGACACUUAUGUGUAACCAGGAGUUCAUCUUUCCCUGCUGUGGUUCUGAUUGUCGCAUAAUGACAAUUUCCCCCCCACAUCUCUCUUCCCAGUGCAUACAGGAGAUGACAGCCCAUACCUGUCUACCAUAUUGAAUGUUCAGAAGUAUGUUAGAUGCCUUGCUGUUUUGCCAAAGUUGUUGACUAUCCCAUUCCAGCAGAGCUGGGUCAUGGGAAAAAGAAAGUUAAUCUCAAAUGCAAUCAAAGUUAAUUCUUGAAUUGAGGUAAUGGACUCCACUGUUCCUUCUGCAAACAAGGGCAGGCAUUCCUAGAUUAAUGAGGUCCAUAUUCCUUGCGUCAGGUUAAUUUAUUUGAGUCAACACUUUAUAAGAACACCUGAGCACUUCUCUGGCAAGGAACUAGGAGUUGUGUUAUAAGAGUUAACCCUAGCAUGCACUUAGAUUAAAGAAAGUGCCUAUAGAUGCAAGUCUCUUGGCAUGAGGUUGCCUAUAAGAAAUGUGUCAUCCUUUCAUAGUUUGGAAAUUUUCAUACCUAUAGUAGUCCCAGCCUUUUGGCUCAGUUUGGGCAUUAGUAAUGGCUAAGACCUACGUAAAACAAUUGAAUGAAAAUUCUGCUUUCAGUACAACAUGGUCACAACUAAUUGCGGUUUGACUGGAGUCUGAACCUUUAAGUAAAACUAAUGUCAAAAGAUCGGUGAAGAACAGUGUUACAUUUGGGUUUCAGAAUUCUAGGGCCUCUCUUUUAAAUCCCCCCCCUCCAAUUUAUGAGCAUGAAAGUCAGUAAUUUGGUACUUCUUAUGAAUUUACUUUUGGUAUGUUUUAGCUCAUUAGAUUUGAUCAGCGUCUGCCUCAUCAACACGUUAAAUUGUGUCUUUAAUGCCCCUGUUCUGAAUUUUAUUUUUAGGUCCAAUUUGCAGCUGUUAGCCUGUUGGAUCAGUGACUCUUAAUGAAAAUUCAAAGCAGGUUUUGAUUAUAAAGUUUAAUGUCUCCCCAAAAGCUGUUAAGAUUUAAUGGGUUACAUCUGUAUCUUUCAUUAAUGGGCAUUUAAAACAGUAUGCACCUGUGCAAUUACUCGUUAGAGAAGGUAAAUCAAGAAUAUUAUCUAUCUUUACGCAGUGUUUCUGUUUAGUAAAACAAACAAAACACCUUUCAGAAUAUGUUGUGUUCUGUUUUCUCGGUGCUGGAGCCAAGAUGAUUUCAGGAUGGAAAAACUGACACAUUUGUGUGUGUGCGUGUUGUAAGGUUAAAUUAGUCUAGGCCACAGGUCCAUUAAAGCCACCUACCCAUUUGGCCUAUAGGUUCCCAUGCUAGUCAUUUGUGGCACAGUGAUGACCUGUAAGAGAGACAAAGCCUGGCUUAUUUUAGUUCCAGGGAAGCGGCUGGCGCUGUGGUCUAAACUAUGGAGCCUCUUGGGCUUGCCGAUUGGAAGGUCGGCAGUUUGAAUUCCUGCAACAGAGUGAGCUCCCGUUGCUCUGUCCCAGCUCCUGCCAACCUAGCAGUUUGAAAGAACACCAGUGCAAGUAGAUAAAUAGGUACCGCUGAGGCGGUAAGGUAAACGGCGUUUCCGUGUACUCUGGUUUUUGUCACGGUGUUCCAUUGUGAAGUGGUUUAGUCAUGCUGGCCACAUGACCCAGAAAGCUGUCUGUGGACAAACACAUGCCCCCUCAUCCUGAAAGUGAGAUGAGCGCCACAACCCCAUAGUACCCUUUGACUGGACUUAACCGUCCAGGGGUCCCUUACCUUUUACCUUUUUUAUUUUGGUUCCCCAGAGACAAUACUUACUCGACACAAGUAUGGGGCUGCCUGCUAGCUUGGCCAUCACCCCCUGCUGAAAUUGUUGCUAGACUUGCUCAGCUCCUCCUCCUGUUUUGGAUAUUGAUUCUGUAGUAGGCCCAAGUCUUUUGCAGACCUCAGCCUGAUAGGGCAUGUAGCUGGUGCAUCUUACAUUUUGAUGGUGCAGCCAGACGUUGCUCCUGAUGGCAUCAACACCUUUCUUCCUCCCACCCACUUUGUGAAAUUUGAUUGGGCAUUUCCCUGACCUUCGGUUCACAUCACUGGCCACUGGUAGUGCCGAGGCAAAUGCACAGUGUGAUGUCACAGAACUGAUAAGGGUGCCUACAUAUUAAAAUGGAGCUGCAGUUUUGGGAGGCUGUCCUGUGUCAAACCCAAGCACAGUGAUACCUUGCUUUGCAAACAGUCUGGUUUGCCUAUGUUUUGGAUUACAAACACGUCAAACCUGGAAGUGCGUGUCCCGGUUUGCAAACUUUUUUUGUAUUACAACCCAUUUUGGGGGGGGAUUAUGAACAUUUUUUGGGGAGGAAGCCGCAUUGGCGAAAGCGUGCCAUGGGUUACAACCUGUUUUGGUUUACAAAUGGACCUCCGGAACGGAUUAUGUUUGUAAACCAAGGUACCACUGUAUCUAAAGGUAAAGGGACCCCUGGCCAUUAGGUCCAGUCGUGACCCACUCUGGAGUUGUGGCGCUCACCUCGCAUUAUUGGCCGAGGGAGCCGGCAUACAGCUUCCAGGUCAUGUGCCCAGCAUGACAAAGCCGCUUCUGGCAAACCAGAGCAGCACAUGGAAACACCGUUUACCUUCCCGCUGUAGCGGUACCUAUUUAUCUACUUGCACUUUGACGUGGUUUCGAGUUUGGCAGGAGCCGGGACCAAGCAAUGGGAGCUCACCCCAUCGCGGGGAUUCGAACUGCCAACCGUCUGAUCAGCAAGCCCUAUGCUCUGUGGUUUAACCCACAGCACCACCCGCGUCCCCCCACCACUGUAUCUAGUUCUGCUCUAAUUGUAAUCUUAUGAGCAACACCUUUUUCUGGAAGAAGGGAACCAAACCCCUUGGCCCUUCCAGUCAUUUUUACUCUCAAUUGUUCUGACAGUGUUUUGGUAUGAUAAAUCUAUCUAAAGUGUUUGUUUCUGUGGCACUAAUUAGUUGCAUUUCUGCUCACCCAUAGAAAUAGGAUGAAAAGUUUCUCGGAACAAACUAGAAGAAUUUCAAUUAACAGCUUCAAUAAACACACAACUGUGGUUUUUUUGUAAUUCCAGAAUUGGACACAUGUUCCUUCCCAGACAUUUUUUUGCCUGAAGGUUGAUAAAAGGAAACUUAUUCAUUUUAUGCCACUUUCAACAUUCUCCACAUUGUAUGUACCGUAUAUUCCGGCGUAUAAGACGGCUGGGCAUAUAAGACGACCCCCAACUUUUCCAGUUAAAAUAUAGAGUUUGGGAUAUACUCGCUGUAUAAGAAAUACGACCCAGCAUAUAAGAUGACCCCCGACUUUUGAGAAGAUUUUCCUGGGCUAAAAAGUAGUCGUACACAGGAAUAUACAGUAAGCAUAGUGCCCAAACCAAAAAUUUAAAGCACUGUUAUGCCAUUUAAACAGCCAUGGCUCUCCACCCCUGAAUCCUGGGAACUCUGGUUUGUUACUACUGCCUAGCUAGCCGUAGCCAGGGAUGAUGGGAAUUGUAGUCCCAAAACAGCUGGACACCCAAGUUUGGGAAACCCUGGUCCAGAGGUUGUAUGUGUUUUUUAGAUUGUAAAAAAAGCACUGUGCGGUGCCAGAGAUUUAUAGUAUAUUGUUUCAGUUUGAAUAUAUAUCUCAUUUUUAGGGGGUGCAACCUAUGUGUGGGGCCAGCAUAUAAUGGACUGAUGCAGUAGUUCUCCUGAGCAUAUACAAAUACAUGAUUUGUGUCUCGGUGUGUAUGUUAAGCUGAUGGUGGUUUUAGUAAGUUGUUAUACAGCUUGCCACAGAAGUUGGUGCAGUAAAUUUCUUGCUACUUGGUUUCCUUCUCACUCAUACUUUUAAUUAUCAGUAUCUGUCACACUCGACUACUAAUUAAAAAUGAUUAGUUUACAGCUGGUUUAGCAGUUGAUGAAAAAUUGAUUCUAAAAUUAAAGUUUCCCCGAAGGCAGGCAUCUUCAGAUUCCUCUCUCUGAGGCCUUUAUUAUUGCUGUAAAGAUUCAGGGGUAAAAAUUGUUCUGUACUACAUGGCUUGGUUGCUUGAAUAUUUUAAAAUGCUGCAUAUUUAUGGCACUUGCUGCAUAACAUACAAGGAGGCAGGUUAGGCAAUGGUUUCAGUUUUCCAGGAUGCAAUCCUAUACAUUACAUUCUUACCUGGAAGGACACUUAACUGAAUCUGUAGGACUGUCUUCUGAGUAGACUUGCAUAAAGGGAGAUAAUUAGUGCCCAGUUGGUAUGAUAUGCAGCAGAAGAGCUAAUGACCAGAACAUGGGAAAUGUUCGAUCAGAUGUUCAGGUGGAUUUCAAGUCCACUUCAACAAGAUGUUCAGUGAAGUUGGUCAUACCCUAAGAUGACCUUUUGAUGUGUUUGAUUUCACUAUAAUUUUAUCCAAACACCUUCUUGCUUUUAUGGUAUCUUUCCCUUCAUCUAGACUAGUGCCAAUAGUAAAGGAACCACGGUGUCAUCGAAGUCAAAUCCAAAUCCCAUUAGAAAUGUUGAUAUAAUUUGUUCUGAAGAGAUUUGAUAAACUAGUGUGACCCCCAUCUUUGCUUACAUUCUUUGUUUCUGCAUUCCCUGUGUAUGUACAGUAUUAGUUUAUGGAACAAAUCGCAAAAGACCUUUGUUGUUGUUGUUGUUGUUCUUAUUGUUACUCUUCAUUGUACCAUGUCAAUUGCACAAAACUCAAUAAUAUGCGUAUAGAAUAUAUUGUAUAGCACAAUAUUUCCAUUAUACUAUCAAGGCCAUAUGUUCUAUUUAUAUAUGUAGGAAAAUUGUUAGGAGUCAGUUAAGAACUGGGCUCAGAUGCGAUUCAAGUGUUCUUGUCAUUGUUAAAGUAUAUUUUGCUAGGAUGCUAAAGGUUCUCAAGUGUGCAGCAAGACUUUCUGCACAUGUAGUUCCCUGCUUUGAAUUGAGACUCAAAUCUACAAACUUUAAUCAGGUUCCUGAGUUUUAUUGGCAGUUCUGGACUUUUUAUACUGGGAUCAAAGGGCUGAAUAUAAAAUUCUCCUGCCUUUGCAAACCGUUCUAUGAAAUAUGGCUAGCAGUUCCACACACUUGAGUUUAGUGAAAGAGCCUAGCCUAGCUGACACCAAGAGGUGUCAACCCCUCCUUUCCCCUCAUCAUUUCUGCACAUGUUAUCUCUUCUGAUAUUUACCUUUAAGUUUUGUUCAGCGUUGUGCAGUAAGACUUUGAUUACUGUGGUUGUCUUUGGAGCAGUGUAAUGGGAUCUUCCUCUGCCUCCAGGAUAUUCUUAGUGCAAAAAGAUAAGGUUCAAUGUAGAACUUUCUCCUGUUUGAGAGAGGAUCACAAACAUAGCAUCUCUCUUUAACUUGAUGGAUACCAAGGAUGCUAAGUUGAUACUGCUCAAGCUGUUACAAUCUUCCAUGCUCCUGCACAUUAUUUUAGCCACUGACUUCUUAGAGCAAUUUUCACUUCUAGUAUGUGACAGGUUUACUUGGUAGUUUCUUAAUCAAUGAGACAUUUCAGCUCAUCCCUAUAUAAUAUUUAUGGUUCACAGGGGAAUGCUGGAUUGAAAUAAGGGCACUUGCCUUUCUCCCAGUGGCACGUGCAUAGAAAAUGGCUUUAAGGAUUUCGAAAAGGGCUGGGUUACUACUGCCAUAUAAUAUGGGGAAAACAUCACUCCAUCUCAUAAUGCAACCUCGUGUUGGCUAUCGAUAAACGGGUGUAACCAUUGCUGUUCGUUUAUUUAAUUGAUUACAUUUGCACACUGCUCAUUGUAUCAAGUUCUCUGGGCAGGUUACAUGAACAACAAAAUAAAUUGUAGAAGCAUAAAACCUGAGAAAGGGGAAUUUGGUGCAAAACCUGAAGCACCCAAUACAGUGGUACUACUGGUUAUGAACUUAAUUCGUUCCGGAGGUCCAUUCUUAACCUGAAACUGUUCCUAACCUGAAGUACCACUUUAGCUAAUGGGGCCUCCUGCUGCUGCUGCAUCGCCAAAGCAUGAUUUCUGUUCUCAUCCUGGGGCAAAGUUCUUAACCCGAGGUACUACUUCCAGGUUAUCGGAGUCUGUAACCUGAGGUGUUUGUAACCCAAGGUACCACUGUAGAUCGUAAUUAAAGGUGCAGUGCUAGCCCCUUUUGCAGUGGGCUGGGGCUGAAUUGGGCAACAAUGCCCCUUCGCACAGCCCUGUCAACCUCUAUCUCCACCAACAGGUUCCAUUUGCUCCUAAAGCAGCUCCACUGCCGAUACGGGACAUCUGCGAGCCCGUUGAAGAAUGGAAUAUUACCAGCUCCAGGCAGUUGCAACCGUUUGCUUGCCGCCGCCGCCGCCGCCACAACCCUUUCUUUCCUGGUUGAUGUGGAUUUUGGUGGUGGAUUUUGGCAGUGGCUCCACUGCUCCAUUAAGCUGUGCUAGGAUUGUGCCUUAAGUGAUCUUUAUUUGGCACAUAAAAGGUCAUGCUGUUGGUACCAGUGAGAACCUUUGGGGAGGCCAAGUCCAUAAGUUGCUGCCUGCCUCACUUCAUUAGACUGGGGAGCCUGGAGAAGGUUCCCCAAAGAAGAUGUCAAAGUCUGUGGAGCGAAGUAUGAACCAAGUGAUCUUUCAAGUGCCUGAAGAAAUGCUUUUGAUGGACUCCACAAGAGAUUCUGGAAGGGAAAGAGGCCUGUCUGGGCUUCCUAAGUCUUAGACUAUGUUGUGCUAACCCUCCUUGUUCCAUGAUUUUAUUAAAUCCAAAUGGCUCAAGUUAGCUACCACUACAGCCUAUUCAUGAAAAGAUGUGGAGGGGUAUGAUUUCAGCAUGCUUAUUAUAUUUUUGUUUUCAAACCAGCCACAUAAUAUUACUAUCCAGAAUAAAGCCAUAACAACAUAUUCUAUGUUUGUGCAGUAGCUAAGAAGAUAUCAAAUCUAGCCAUUCCUGAUCUUGCUUGUUCCCCCAUUGCUAGGAAUGAAUGCAGUUAAUUGGCGAAAAUCUUUAUUUUUGGAGUGAUUUCAUCUCUUUAUUUUAUAGCCUAGCUAUGUUGCAUAAUGUGCUCCUAGAUAGUCAAAAGAUGCCCUCCUUGGAGGGUUGAUAUAUUUAGAACCAUGGAGUGUGCAGUCAUUUUAGUGGUCCCUCAGGUGGCAUAAAGUUUGCAACAAUAUUUUCAGUCAGUUAUCACCUGAAGUUAGCGUGUUAAAACUGUAGUCAAUAAAUAUGAGUAGUGUUCGAAGAAGACUUUUUUAAAAAAAGACAAAAAAACUAGAAAGGAAUGUGUGUUCUUAAAAAGAGCUUUUGGAUCGCUUGCAACUUGAAAGAUGAACCUGAGAGGCAAAGGAUGAUUGACUUGCAUUAGUGAAGGGAAAGAAAUCUUUAUUCUCAGCUGGAAAAGAGAGUGCACAGUCCUUUGAAGCAUUUGUUCAGACUGGAAUAAGCUGACCUUUAAGAUUUUAAGUGAGUUGAAAUCAGAAUCUUUACUGUCAGUGCACUUGAAGAUUAAGAAGACCUGGAUUUACUCUAGAACUUCUUAAAAAUGGGCUUCUAUUAUGUUGAUCAGUUUUGUUACAAUACUAGUCCAAACAGGAGCUUUUCCCCAUUGUAAAAAAUAAUCUUUUCCUUGUUUCCCCCCCUGCAAGUAAAUAUUCUGUACAGUUCAUGAUACAGUUUCCAUCACAGUAUAUUGUCCUAAAUAAAAAAAAAUCUAUUCGGGCUGUUAAAACUGUAUUGCAGAAAUGUCAAUUUUGAUAACAUGGGUGACUAUAUGGUAUUCUAUAUCUGAGCGUAAUGUGCAUAUAUUUUAUAAGGGGCUAUCUCCAAUGAAGCAAACAUUUAUGGUGAAAAAUAAUUUUAAGUGCCUUUGCAUUUGGAGGUAGCAAACUAUUUGUGUUCAUAUAGGCACCUGAGUACGAGAUGUAGGUUAUUGUGCAGAAGGUGGGUUUUUUUUUUUGAAAGAAUUGAAAUAAUUUCAUUUUGGAUAUGAUUUUAUUCUUAGGUGGUAUACUACAGAACCAUUUUAAAGGCUUGAAUCCAAAGAAAUAAUGCGAUUGUGAAUCAGGAAACCAGAUGUACAUCAGGAAAAAAUUAAUCUGCAGCAGCAGCAGCAGCUGCUGCUUCAGUAGAGGCUAGCCUCUUAAAACAUAGCCCAGUGGCUUACCUCUUCAGGGAUGACAGCUCCUGGAGAGAAAUUGCACAAUAAAUCUUUGGUUAGGCUACCUGCUUACUUGCAGUUGGAUUGACUAAUUAGGUUGUGGCCAAUAUUAGUAGUUCAUGGAUGGUAUAUCAUGGCUUGGAGCAGCUCAUGAAUAUUGAAAAUCCUAGAAAAGCUUAUAAUUUUUUAAUGACCCUUGUUGAAAGGUCGAACGCAGCAUUUAUGAUCUUAUUUCUCCGCAGUAAUUAGCAGUCAGAAUGAAUAAGUGUGCCAAUUUCAUAAAAUAGCAGCUCAUUGGGGGUGCUGAAAAUUAAUUCUGUCCUCCAAUUAGAACCACCUGUAUUGUGCUAAACGACAGAUUUCUAGCUCUGUAAAAAAAAAUUUUUGGCAAAGUUUCCAAUUCAUUUCCAAUUUAGAAAAAACACACAAUUGCGAUGCCUGACUCGGACAUUUGUCAAAAUCCUAUUUCCUGAAAGGUAACCUGAACUGUGUUCUUAUAUUAUACCCGAGUGAAGAUUUAGUAACUUCUAAAUUGCAUCUCAAGUAGGUCUGAAUUAACAGUUAAAUAAACUGGAGGAAGUUCACAUAUGCAGUCAGUCUUGCUUUUAUGAUCUGGUGUGUGGUGCCAUUUUGCCUGUUGCACAGAGAAAUCCUAAGCGCAGGAAGAGGGAGAGAAUGAAGUACAGCAGCUCCAAGUUAAUGGGCUCUGGACCUCUGAGGAGAACAGGGGACCUUUGGACCCAGUCCUCUUCCCCAUAAUGUCUUGUUUUGGGGCCUACUGCCAGUGGUAGACUGAUGCCAGUGAACUUUCCAUGGGUGUACCAAGUGCCAGUGGGUUGAAACCCUACCAGUAGAAUGGCAUUUCUAAUGUCUCAGAGCCAGGAGAUCUGGGUGUUUGAAAUGUUCUAGCAAGACGCAAGGAUGUACUUGCCAAGACUAAACUUAUCAGGAAAGGAGAUUGUGGGUUCAAGUUGUGCAGUGUUAAUCCAUUUUAAAUAUCUAAGAGAGUAUAGCUGUUGUUACAUAUAUGGACACAUUUUGCAAACUUUCCCCCUCCAUUUAUAUUUUUUCACAGCUAAUUACAGAAAUAACAUCUUUUAAAACACCAUUUCUAGUAUUUUGAUGCGGUUCUCCUUUAGCUCGCUUGUGGUAUCUCCGUAACCUAAUAUAUGUUUUCCCAUUCCAUCCGCACAGAGUGCAUUUUAUUUCAUAUAGCCAUCCCCAUUUAAAACUGUAAAGGAACUGAAUAUUCAACUCUUUGGAAUUGGAUAUAAUUUAAGAGCUAUUGUAAUGUGGAGUAUUCUACUCAAGUAAUUUAGUUCAUUGAAAUUGUGUGUGUGUGAGAGAGACUACACAUUCCAAACUAAUUUUGUAACUCUUUUGGCCCCGUAUUUUAUUAUAAUUUUUUAUAGUACAUGUAAAGCAUAACCAUGAUUAUUAAGGAAGCUGAGUUACAGUCUGUUGCAUCCCUUCCCUGGGAUGUUUAUACAUAGGCAUGCCGGCAAAAUGUGUACUAUCCCUCUGUAAGUAGACUGAUUAUAAAGACAUAGCAACAUUUGCUACAUUCAGACAUAAUGUUUUUAACCAUAAUGAAAAACCUCAUUGUAAAUCACAAUAGGUAAAGGUAAAGGGACCCCUGACAGUUAAGUCUAGUCGCAAACGACUUGGGGGUUGUGGCGCUCAUCUCGCUUUACUGGCUGAGGGAGCCAGCGUUUGUUCGCAGACAGCUUCCGGGUCAUGUGGCCAGCAUGACUAAGCCACUUCUGGCAAACCAUAGCAGUGCAUGAAAAUGCCGUUUACCUUCCCGCCAGAGCAAUACCUAUUUAUCUACUUGCACUUUGAUGUGCUUUCGAACUGCUAGGUUGGCAGGAGCAGGGACUGAGCAACAGGAGCUCACCCUGUUGUGGGGAUUUGAACCAUCGACCUGAUCGGCAAGCCCUAGGCUCAGUGGUUUUUUAGACCACAGCGCCACCCUAGUCAGAUACAAUUGUUUUCUCAUUAACCGUUGUUAAACAUUAUGCCUGCAGAGGGGCUUUUAGAAAGAAAACCGCACUGAAAACACUUCAAUAUUUCUCAAAACAUUCCCUCUCGCUUGCUACAUCUUCUUUAUUGAUUAUGAUGCAUAAAUUACCAUGGAAAUUGCCUGUAGUUCAGUAAACUUGUGUAUUGAUCAGAUACCUGUGAGAUACUUCUUGGUUGCUACUUUGUUAAGAUUAUUUUCACUGAAAUAGCUUUUCUGCUUUUUAUUUAAGCCAGCGUGCUUCAUAGUAAUUCACUAGUUUGUUCAGCCAAACUGGGACCUGUUUAUACCAGAGGGAGGCAUAACGUCAGUGGUAUUAGAUGUGAAUUUUGCCAUAUUUCCUUCCCGCUGGUGGCAGAAUACUCUCCAAUAUACUAUAAUGGGAGUAACUGCUGCUAUUAACUACUGUAAGGUUGAGUCUUGUAUGUCCCUGAAAUCAAUUAAUUCUACAGUGGUAUACUGCCAGUCUAAGAACUACUGCCAAAAAGAAAAGAAAAGAAAAGAAAAGAAAAGAAAAGAGAGAGUCUAAUCUCAAAUGAGCCCAUAAACUGCUAGCAAGGCCUGUGGAUAAAAAGCAGGAUGCAGAAGUUGUACAAUGUUAUUUUUAAACGUAGACACUGAACUGUCAGCAGUGGAAAAGCAGUUUCGCUUGGAAUAAAUGCUUCCAGACCCAGAACCACCCACACGGUAAGGGGCUUUUGCCAGCGGAAAUGAAAUAUAAUGCAUCCUACACUUCUCUGGGAAUGUUCACAGGCUAUGAUAUCACUAAUAUAUUGCCAGCCAUCAACUGCAGACUCAAAUACAUGGCUUUAAUAUAAUGGCUCUGAAUUAAAUGUUAAGUUGCUUUCCCGAUGCAUAAUUAACUAAAGGAAUUCUGUAGCACAAGUUAUGGUGAUGGCCACUCCCUUAUAUCCAUACUUAAUCCUUUUUUAAAACAAUCUAUCAUUUUGCAUCAAGCUAUGACAGACGUGGGUGGCGCUGUGGGUUAAACCACUGAGCCUAGGGCUUGACGAUCAAAAGGUUGGCGGUUCGAAUCCCCGCAACGGGGUGGGCUCCCAUUGCUCUGUCCCAGCUCCUGCCAACCUAGCAGUUCGAAAGCACGUCAAGUAGAUAAAUAGGUACCGCUACAGCGGGAAGCUAAACAGCGUUUCUGUGUGCUGCUCUGGUUCGCCAGAAGCGGCUUUGUCAUGCUGGGCACAUGACCUGGAAGCUGUACGCCGGCUCCCUCGGCCAAUAAAGCGAGAUGAGCGCCGCAACCCCAGAGUCGGUCACGACUGGACCUACUGGUCAGGGGUCCCUUUACCUUUAUGACUGCUAAAUGGAGCCCUGUGUUUGGAGAACAGCACAUUCCUGAAUACCAAAUAUGGUGGACAAAUGAGAACAGAAGGAUCCCAAGAGGCAUGUGGUAGUACUCUAUUGGGGAUAGGAUACUGGACUAGAUCUAGGUCUGAUCCAGCAAAUAUAUUUUUAUUUCUUCUUAGGUUACAUUUACACGAGUUCCAUCAUUUGCAUAUCCACAGUACUCUAUAAAGUUGUGUAACACACAGCCCGUUACUAAUAUUUUUUCCAAUUAUAUUAUAUUAUA
This is a non-coding RNA of Zootoca vivipara (common lizard), 12263 nucleotides long. The record is from RefSeq and is a predicted model, not a curated record. Lineage: Eukaryota; Metazoa; Chordata; Lepidosauria; Squamata; Lacertidae.